This 484-nucleotide ribosomal RNA is filed under the name uncultured bacterium. Its description in RNAcentral is "partial 16S ribosomal RNA". It matches the Rfam family "Bacterial small subunit ribosomal RNA", at positions 28 to 507 of the family's 1533-position model. The record is from RNAcentral.
GAUUAACGCUAGCGGCAGGCAUAAUACAUGCAAGUUGAACGGCAGCACAGGUAGCAAUACUGGGUGGCGAGUGGCUCACGGGUGCGUAACACGUAUGCAACCUACCCUAUACAGGCGAAUAACCUUUAGAAAUGAGGGCUAAUACGCCGUAGUAUUACAGAUGGGCAUCUAUUUGUAAUUAAAGAUUUAUCGGUAUAGGAUGGGCAUGCGUCCCAUUAGUUAGUUGGUAAGGUAACGGCUUACCAAGACGAUGAUGGGUAGGGGAUCUGAGAGGACUUACCCACACACUGGUACUGAGACACGGACCAGACUCCUACGGGAGGCAGCAGUAAGGAAUAUUGGGCAAUGGCCGCGAGGCUGACCCAGCCAUGCCGCGUGCAGGAAGACGGCCUUAUGGGUUGUAAACUGCUUUUAUACGGGAAUAAUAGAGUGUACGCGUACAUUUAUGCAAGUAUCGUAUGAAUAAGCAUCGGCUAACUCCGUG